Molecule: ribosomal RNA, 449 nt
Filed under: uncultured bacterium
Lineage: Bacteria
Description: partial 16S ribosomal RNA
Rfam family: Bacterial small subunit ribosomal RNA
Source: RNAcentral
AACGAACGCUGGCGGCAUGCCUAACACAUGCAAGUCGAACGAGAUCUUCGGGUCUAGUGGCGCACGGGUGCGUAACGCGUGGGAAUCUGCCCUUUGGUUCGGAAUAACAGUUGGAAACGACUGCUAAUACCGGAUGAUGACGAAAGUCCAAGGAUUUAUCGCCAGAGGAUGAGCCCGCGUAGGAUUAGCUAGUUGGUGUGGUAAAGGCGCACCAAGGCGACGAUCCUUAGCUGGUCUGAGAGGAUGAUCAGCCACACCGGGACUGAGACACGGCCCAGACUCCUACGGGAGGCAGCAGUGGGGAAUAUUGGACAAUGGGCGAAAGCCUGAUCCAGCAAUGCCGCGUGAGUGAUGAAGGCCUUAGGGUUGUAAAGCUCUUUUACCCGGGAUGAUAAUGACAGUACCGGGAGAAUAAGCUCCGGCUAACUCCGUGCCAGCAGCCGCAGUAA